This 709-nucleotide unclassified non-coding RNA is filed under the name Hevea brasiliensis (rubber tree). The record is from RNAcentral. Lineage: Eukaryota; Viridiplantae; Streptophyta; Magnoliopsida; Malpighiales; Euphorbiaceae.
UGCAUUUAAAAAUAACAUUUUGAUUACUCGAGUACAAUUGAAUGACAAACUUGUUUAUCAAAACUAUGUCAUGACCAUGUGUAAGAAGAGUAGCACAAAGAUUACCCUUUUGACACUCUUCCCCCUCUCUGUCUCCUCCCAAAUUCAAAACAAAACCAAAACAUCAGAGCGGUAUUAGUUGUACGCACAACCCAACCCCACAUCCAAAUACAGAAAUAAUUAAAUCAUACAAUCCCCUCCAACAUCCUAUCACCAGCUUCUGAUGACACUUUCCACACCAAACAAGGUGAAAAAAGUGGUAUCAGCAGAGGAUUCUUUCUUAAGCAAGACAUGAAGUUAUCCUUGCUUACUCUCCCAUCACCAUCAGUAUCAAAUAAUUUGAAGAGCGCGUGGAUCUCAUGAUCAUCCAAGUCUGGGAUUGCAAGUCUAAUGAUAUCUCCCAACUGUUCUUUUGAAAUUUGACUGUCUCCAGCACUGCNNNNNUAGUUCACAGGUUUGCCUGAAUAAUGGUUGCUUCAUGACAUGAGCCGAUCCAUACAAGAACUGCUUGAAUGUGAUUGAUCCAUUCUUUUCCACAUCAAUGAACCCAAAUAUCUCUUCUGAAAUAGUACAAGUUCUUAGUCUCAUUACCCUCAAAAAGUCAUGGAAUUUAACACGACCACUAGGGUCUGGAUUCAUUGAGAGAACCUUGUCAAGAAAGUCCACAGCU